UUUGUUACGUUCUCAAAUGAUGUAAAGCGAAAUCGAAGUGAAAGCGCUAGUAAAAGCCAGUAGUGAUGAAUUAAACGAAGCAUAAAUAUAAAUUUGGAACUUUCCAAGCAUUUGCAAAUGACGAUACGCAGUUAUUCUAAUUGAACUGAAAAUCGCACCGUAUAGCGAUAGCAUGAUAAAAUCCAACUGGCUGCAGUUUAGUUAAAGCAAGCAAAUCUAGCCUUUUGCUGUAUGUCUAGACACUGUUCAACGCAGACAUGCAGAGAAAUACCAUAACACAAAUAAAAACCGCUCUAAGGUGUAAUCAUGCUAAAUCAUUCUUUCGGGCGACUACGUUUGGCCCUCGUUUUCACAAAUCAAGAUGUAAUUGAGCAGGGUGAUGAAUAAGAGAAGCGUGUCAAAGGGACGACUUCCUUAAAUCUCCACUUAGUUGCCGAACAUUUUUAUUUAAGUAUUUAACUAAAUAGUUAUGUGGAUUGACAGAUGUAUAAUACAACAUGUAUUGUCAUAAUUACCAAUCUCAGUGCUAUCUAUUAAAAUAUAACUUCAAGUAAUUCAAAAGUAUCUCACAGGAGACACGAAGAUUAUAUAACUGUUAACGGAAUAAUCAAAAAGAUUGUAAAUUUGCGUACCAGAUGAAAGAGUUCCAGUUUGCUUACCGAUAUACGUAUGCUGAUGUCGACGGCUGUGUGCCGUGAAGCCAGCGAAUAAAGCCAUGACCGAACGCUACUGUGCCAGUAACUGCGAAUCUGCGAAAGCCAUCGAAGGUGCUCGUGAAGUAACGUUCAAAUGUGAACACAGCUGAUAGCAUUUACACGUGUAGGUAUAAGCUGAGGCCGUUCUUCGCUGCAAAGUCUGACAAAUCUACAAUGGCUUUGUUUAAAACGCGGCUUAUCAUCUACGCAAUUGCGUUGGUAAACAUGCUAGAAUUUGUUCGCACGUGUGGUGCAGGCCCGAUUCAUAGUCUCUAUCGCAGUUUCCGCCUGCAUGUCGGGCUGGACCAUUAUGAGAGACCAGCUUCAUUUCCCAAUUUUAUGCACAUUCGAGAUAGCUACGAGCCUACUAAAUAUAACAGAAAGUGGUAUUACCGCCAUGGAAAUCAAAUGCUUACUAUUAAAUGUAAGGUCUAAUGUCAUAGGAAGAUAGCAUUAACAAGUUAUCUGGGCAUAACACUUAUUUUUGGUGCACCAGGCUACAAGGUUGUUUGAAGUUUGAAUACUGAAGAAUCCAUUUUUAAAUUAGUAUUGUAGUAUUAGGAAACCAGUACUAUAAAGUUUCAUGGACUAUUACUACAUAAUAACCGUGUACAUCCCGGGAAAUAAUAACUAACGACAAACCGAUGCUUGUAUAACUUGAAUAUGUGCGACUUACCGAGCUUGCUAAAUCUGACGUUACAGUUACUAGUACAAACAGCUGACACAAACGUAGAAGACAGAAAAAAACACGACUCAAGCAAUUAGCUACAAUUACACCCAUGCUUUCGAAAAUUUCACAUGAAAGCUAGAUAAAUCGUCGUUAAUAAAAUCUAUGUGAAACAUAAUCGGAAGAAA
RNAcentral lists this long non-coding RNA (1550 nucleotides) under Varroa destructor (honeybee mite). Its description in RNAcentral is "uncharacterized LOC111245875, transcript variant X1". Lineage: Eukaryota; Metazoa; Arthropoda; Arachnida; Mesostigmata; Varroidae. The record is from RNAcentral.